AAUUACUUGGUUGUUUGGCAACCAUAGUCAUCCAAAAGAAAACCAACAAUGCUACGAGUUCCCAGAGAAUUUUGCUGUGUUUUUGGGGAGGAAGAGGAGGCAAUACCUUUGUCAGUAAAUUUGACUUCUAUAAUGUGUAAGACAUCCUUAAUAUAUAAAGAAAUAUUAACUAAAAAUCCAAAGUUAAACCAUGUCACUCAUGUCAAACAUGCCACUCCUCAGUAAUAUCUUUGGUUACCUGCACCAAUAAUUUAUACUGCUGUAAGGGAAUAAAGAAC
RNAcentral lists this long non-coding RNA (278 nucleotides) under Bos taurus (domestic cattle). RNAcentral describes it as "long non-coding RNA NONBTAT020303". The record is from RNAcentral. Lineage: Eukaryota; Metazoa; Chordata; Mammalia; Artiodactyla; Bovidae.